GAUGAACGCUAGCGGCAGGCCUAAUACAUGCGAGUCGAGGGAGAAUGUUGGAUUCGUCUGACAUGAAACCGGCGCACGGGUGCGUAACACGUAUGCAACCUACCUUUAACUGGGGUAUAGCUCAGAGAAAUCUGAAUUAAUCCCCCAUAAGACUACGACAUGGCAUCAUGAUGUAGUUAAAGCUCCGGCGGUUAAGGAUGGGCAUGCGGUACAUUAGCUAGUUGGUGAGGUAAUGGCUCACCAAGGCUACGAUGUAUAGGGGGUCUGAGAGGAUGAUCCCCCACACUGGUACUGAGACACGAACCAGACUCCUACGGGAGGCAGCAGUAGGGAAUAUUGGUCAAUGGACGCAAGCCUGAUCCAGCCAUUCCGCGUGCAGGAUGAAGGCCCUCGGGUUGUAAACUGCUUUUGUACAGAACGAAAAGGUUUCUACUAAUACUAGGAGCUCAUGACGGUACUGUAAGAAUAAGCACCGGCUAACUACGUGCCAGCCGCCGCGGUAA
RNAcentral lists this ribosomal RNA (503 nucleotides) under uncultured bacterium. RNAcentral describes it as "partial 16S ribosomal RNA". It matches the Rfam family "Bacterial small subunit ribosomal RNA", at positions 28 to 523 of the family's 1533-position model. The record is from RNAcentral.